UACAGAGGUCUCAAGCGUUGUUCGGAAUCACUGGGCGUAAAGGGUGCGUAGGCGGCGGGGAAAGUCAGAUGUGAAAUCCGGAGGCUCAACCUCCGAAAUGCAUCCGAUACUCCCUCGCUAGAGAUUUGUAGAGGAGUCUGGAAUUCUCGGUGUAGCAGUGAAAUGCGUAGAUAUCGAGAGGAAAACCGGUGGCGAAGGCGGCUAUCUGGACAGUGACUGACGCUGAGACGCGAAAGCGUGGGGAGCAAACAGG
RNAcentral lists this ribosomal RNA (253 nucleotides) under uncultured bacterium. RNAcentral's name for it is "partial 16S ribosomal RNA". It matches the Rfam family "Bacterial small subunit ribosomal RNA", at positions 524 to 776 of the family's 1533-position model. The record is from RNAcentral.